RNAcentral lists this transfer RNA (64 nucleotides) under Hiratettix distanti. RNAcentral's name for it is "tRNA-Asp". RNAcentral also lists the same sequence under 1 other name. The record is from RNAcentral. Lineage: Eukaryota; Metazoa; Arthropoda; Insecta; Hemiptera; Cicadellidae.
AAAGAUUUAGUUUAAUUCAAAACAUUAAAUUGUCAAAUUAAAAUUACUUAAAAAGUAAUCUUUU